RNAcentral lists this long non-coding RNA (462 nucleotides) under Bos taurus (domestic cattle). RNAcentral describes it as "long non-coding RNA NONBTAT006551". Lineage: Eukaryota; Metazoa; Chordata; Mammalia; Artiodactyla; Bovidae. The record is from RNAcentral.
UCUCUAAGGACCAAGUGGUGGAGCUGAGUUAUAAACCCCAGAUUAUCUGAAAAAGUUCAUGGUACUGUGUCAAACUCUCACUCUUGGCCUUAAGCAAGGUGGCUUGUGGACCUAUUGGAUAUAGUCUAUAUCUUGUUCAUUUCUUGUUUUUAACUAUCUACAUAAUAGCUUCUGCAACUGAAACUGUUUACUGAAUUCACCCAGGGUAUGUGAGUGAAAAAAAAGCUUAGUUAAUGCUGAUUUUUAUUUUAGCUUGGCUUUUGCUUCUGCCUUCUAGAACCUCUUUCUGAUUCUAUCCUUUCUGUCCUUAUACCCCUAUGGCUACCCAAAGCUGCCCCCUUUCCAGGCAUAUUUCUUUUUCUUCUUCCCUACCUGUCUUUUAAAAUUGUCCUUCCUCCUCUCCAUUCCAGUUAAAACUCAUCUUCAGUGUCCAUGAUUGACUGACCUUUAAUCAAUGCUCAU